This 1437-nucleotide ribosomal RNA is filed under the name metagenome. RNAcentral describes it as "bacterial SSU rRNA". It matches the Rfam family "Bacterial small subunit ribosomal RNA". The record is from RNAcentral.
AGAGUUUGAUCCUGGCUCAGGAUGAACGCUGGCGGCGUGCCUUAAGCAUGCAAGUCAAGGGGCCAUAGCAAUAUGGUACCGGCGGACGGGUGAGUAACGCGUGGGAAUCUUCCCAGAAGAGGGGCAUAGCCAACCGAAAGGUUGGGUAAUUCCCCAUGUGAUCGUAAGAUUAAAGGCGCAAGCCGCUUCUGGAUGAGCCCGCGUCCUAUCAGCUUGUUGGUGGGGUAAAAGCCUACCAAGGCGACGACGGGUAGCUGGUCUGAGAGGAUGGUCAGCCACAAUGGGACUGCGACACGGCCCAUACACCUACGGGUGGCAGCAACUGGGAAUCAUGGACAAUGGACGAAAGUCUGAUCCUGCGACGCCGCGUGGAGGAUUGAAGGCCCUCGGGUUGUAAACUCCUUUUGCAUAGGAAGAUUAUGACGGUACUAUGCGAAUAAGCACCUGCUAAUCACGUGCCAGAAGCCUCGGUAAGACGUGAGGUGCGAGCGUUAUCCGGAUUCAUUGGGCGUAAAGAGUUGCGUAGGCCGAUUUGCGCAUUUUAUUUAAAAGCCCGGAGCUCAACUCCGGUUUUGGGUAAAAUAUGGCAAAUCUAGUAGGAUAGAGAGGGUACUGGAACUGAUGGUGUAGCAGUGAAAUGCGUUGAUAUCAUCAGGAACACCAAAGGCGUAGGCAGGUACCUGGCUAUCUCUAGACGCUGAGGCACGAAAGCUAGGGGAGCGAAGCAGAUUAGAGACCUGCGUAGUCCUAGCCGUAAACGAUGGAUGCUAGUUACCGGGAGUUUUCUCGGUGACGUAAGGUAACCCGUUAAGCAUCCCGCCUGGGGAGUACGAGCGCAAGCUUAAAACUCAAAGGAAUUGACGGGGAGGCGCACAAGCAGUGGAGCAUGUGGUUUAAUUCGAUACAAAGCGAAACACCUCACCAAGGUUUGACAUGUACUUGCUAAUCCUAUGAAAGUAGGACUCCUUCGAGGGUAGUACACAGAUGCUGCAUGGCUGUCGUCAGCUCGUGGCGUGAGCUGUACCGUUAAGUCGGGUAACGAGCGCAACCCGCAUCAUAUGUUAAAUUAUUCAUAUGAAACUGCCCCGGUUUUCGGGGAGGAAGGCGCGGAUGACGUCAAGUCAGCACGGCUCUUACACCUUGGGCUACACACAUCCUACAAUGGCGAAUAACAACGAGUUGCAAACCAGUAAUGGCAAGCCAAUCUCUUAAAUUUCGCCCCAGUUCAGAUCGAGGGCUGCAAUUCGCCCUCGUGAAGUCGGAAUUGCUAGUAAUCGCGAAUCAGCAGGUCGCGGUGAAUACGUUCUCGCCUCUUGUACACACCGCCCGUCAAGGCAGCAAAGUUGGGGGCGCCCGAAUACCCCUACCGGGGUAGAAGGUGAAACCAGCGAUGAAGCUUAAGUCGAAACAAGGUAUCCGUAGCCGAAGCUGCGGAUG